GUCAACGGAAGUAAGACUCGUAAACAAAAUUAAACUGAAUAAAGUUUAUACUUUAUCUCCCUUGGACAAGUAUUUGAAAAUUAAAGACAGCAUUGUUGUUCAAAGGGAGAGUUCAAAAUCGACUGGAUUAUCAGAAGUUGAACACGAAAUUGAAUCAAAUGUUACUUGUAUUCAGUCUUACAAAGAAGAAGGUA
Long non-coding RNA from Saccostrea cuccullata (small rock oyster), 194 nucleotides. RefSeq lists it as uncharacterized. Lineage: Eukaryota; Metazoa; Mollusca; Bivalvia; Ostreida; Ostreidae. The record is from RefSeq and is a predicted model, not a curated record. The transcript is spliced from 3 exons.